Molecule: unclassified non-coding RNA, 237 nt
Filed under: air metagenome
Description: partial contains small subunit ribosomal RNA, internal transcribed spacer 1, and 5.8S ribosomal RNA
Rfam family: Eukaryotic small subunit ribosomal RNA (bases 1-46)
Source: RNAcentral
AAGUCGUAACAAGGUUUCCGUAGGUGAACCUGCGGAAGGAUCAUUAACGAGUCUGGGGCUCCGGCCCCUCACCUCGCUCUCGUGUUUACCUGUCCUCGUUGCCUCGGCGGGCUGUCCGGGCUCGCGCCCGGCGCCUCGCGGCGUCCGCCGGUGGCCCAUGUUUUAAAUUCUUCCUGAAGUGUCGUCUGAGUAAACGUUAAUUAAACAAAACUUUCAACAACGGAUCUCUUGGUUCUG